AGCGGCGGAUGGGUGAGUAACACGUGGGGAACCUGCCCCUAAGUCUGGGAUACCAUUUGGAAACAGGUGCUAAUACCGGAUAAUAAAGCAGAUCGCAUGAUCAGCUUUUGAAAGGCGGCGUAAGCUGUCGCUAAGGGAUGGCCCCGCGGUGCAUUAGCUAGUUGGUAAGGUAACGGCUUACCAAGGCAAUGAUGCAUAGCCGAGUUGAGAGACUGAUCGGCCACAUUGAGACUGAGACACGGCCCAAACUCCUACGGGAGGCAGCAGUAGGGAAUCUUCCACAAUGGACGAAAGUCUGAUGGAGCAACGCCGCGUGAGUGAAGAAGGGUUUCGGCUCGUAAAGCUCUGUUGGUAGUGAAGAAAGAUAGAGGUAGCAACUGACCUUUAUUUGACGGUAAUUACUUAGAAAGUCACGGCUAACUACGUGCCAGCAGCCGCGGUAAUACGUAGGUGGCAAGCGUUGUCCGGAUUUAUUGGGCGUAAAGCGAGUGCAGGCGGUUCAAUAAGUCUGAUGUGAAAGCCUUCGGCUCAACCGGAGAAUUGCAUCAGAAACUGUUGAACUUGAGUGCAGAAGAGGAGAGUGGAACUCCAUGUGUAGCGGUGGAAUGCGUAGAUAUAUGGAAGAACACCAGUGGCGAAGGCGGCUCUCUGGUCUGCAACUGACGCUGAGGCUCGAAAGCAUGGGUAGCGAACAGGAUUAGAUACCCUGGUAGUCCAUGCCGUAAACGAUGAGUGCUAAGUGU
Molecule: ribosomal RNA, 743 nt
Filed under: uncultured bacterium
Lineage: Bacteria
Description: bacterial SSU rRNA
Rfam family: Bacterial small subunit ribosomal RNA
Source: RNAcentral